GAUGAACGCUGGCGGCGUGCCUAAUACAUGCAAGUCGAGCGAACGGACGAGAAGCUUGCUUCUCUGAUGUUAGCGGCGGACGGGUGAGUAACACGUGGAUAACCUACCUAUAAGACUGGGAUAACUUCGGGAAACCGGAGCUAAUACCGGAUAAUAUUUUGAACCGCAUGGUUCAAAAGUGAAAAACGGUCUUGCUGUCACUUAUAGAUGGAUCCGCGCUGCAUUAGCUAGUUGGUAAGGUAACGGCUUACCAAGGCAACGAUGCAUAGCCGACCUGAGAGGGUGAUCGGCCACACUGGAACUGAGACACGGUCCAGACUCCUACGGGAGGCAGCAGUAGGGAAUCUUCCGCAAAGGGCGAAAGCCUGACGGAGCAACGCCGCGUGAGUGAUGAAGGUCUUCGGAUCGUAAAACUCUGUUAUUAGGGAAGAACAUAUGUGUAAGUAACUGUGCACAUCUUGACGGUACCUAAUCAGAAAGCCACGGCUAACUACGUG
This 497-nucleotide ribosomal RNA is filed under the name uncultured bacterium. Its description in RNAcentral is "partial 16S ribosomal RNA". It matches the Rfam family "Bacterial small subunit ribosomal RNA", at positions 28 to 507 of the family's 1533-position model. The record is from RNAcentral.